Ornithodoros turicata is the source of this 221-nucleotide long non-coding RNA. RefSeq lists it as uncharacterized. The transcript has 4 exons. NCBI's taxonomy places the organism in Eukaryota, Metazoa, Arthropoda, Arachnida, Ixodida, Argasidae. The record is from RefSeq and is a predicted model, not a curated record.
UGGAACUGCAGGGGUAGAAGAACCCUGGAAAUUUGGCCUCAGAAAACACCAAGAGGUGGAAUUGCAGGGCUAGAGGAACCCUGGAAAUUCGGCCUCAGAAAACACCAGGAGAACUGCUGUGCUAGAAGAUCCCUGGAAAUUCGGCCUCAGAAAUAACCAAGAGGUGGAACUGCAGGGCUAGAAGAACCCUGGAAAUUUGGCCUCAGAAAACACCAAGAGGU